RNAcentral lists this ribosomal RNA (857 nucleotides) under uncultured bacterium. Its description in RNAcentral is "bacterial SSU rRNA". It matches the Rfam family "Bacterial small subunit ribosomal RNA", at positions 642 to 1511 of the family's 1533-position model. The record is from RNAcentral.
UGAGAAGUAGGGAAAUGAAUUCCCGGGAGCGGGGAUGCGCAGAUAUCGGAGGACCCCAGGGGCGAAGGCGGUUUUUGACCUUUCUGACGCUGAGAGCGAAAGCGUGGGAGCAAACAGGCUAGAUACCCUGGUAGUCCCACGCUGUAAACGGUGGGUACUAGGUGUGGGGGACAUUCCACGUUCUCUGUGCCGUAGCUAACGCAUUAAGUACCCCGCCUGGGGAGUACGGCCGCAAGGCUAAAACUCAAAGGAAUUGACGGGGCCCCGCACAAGCGGCGGAGCAUGCGGAUUAAUUCGAUGCAACGCGAAGAACCCUUACCUGGGUUUGACAUAUAUCGGAAACGUUCAGAGAUGGGCGCCCCGUAAGGUCGGUAUACAGGUGGUGCAUGGCUGUCGUCAGCUCGUGUCGUGAGAUGUUGGGUUAAGUCCCGCAACGAGCGCAACCCUCGUCCAAUGUUGCCAGCGGGUUAUGCCGGGGACUCAUUGGAGACCGCCGGGGUCAACUCGGAGGAAGGUGGGGAUGACGUCAAGUCAUCAUGCCCCUUAUGUCCAGGGCUUCACGCAUGCUACAAUGGCCGGUACAAAGAGUUGCGAGCCUGUGAGGGUGAGCGAAUCUCAAAAAGCCGGUCUCAGUUCGGAUUGGGGUCUGCAACUCGACCCCAUGAAGUCGGAGUCGCUAGUAAUCGCAGAUCAGCAACGCUGCGGUGAAUACGUUCCCGGGGCUUGUACACACCGCCCGUCAAGUCAUGAAAGUCGGUAACACCCGAAGCCGGUGGCCUAACCCGUUUGGGGGGGAGCUGUCGAAGGUGGGACUGGUAAUUAGGACUAAGUCGUAACAAGCUAACCGUAAGCUUCAC